This 466-nucleotide ribosomal RNA is filed under the name uncultured Desulfobulbus sp. Its description in RNAcentral is "bacterial SSU rRNA". It matches the Rfam family "Bacterial small subunit ribosomal RNA", at positions 916 to 1382 of the family's 1533-position model. Lineage: Bacteria; Pseudomonadati; Thermodesulfobacteriota; Desulfobulbia; Desulfobulbales; Desulfobulbaceae. The record is from RNAcentral.
GGGGCCCGCACAAGCGGUGGAGUAUGUGGUUUAAUUCGAUGCAACGCGAAGAACCUUACCAGGCCUUGACAUGCAGAGAACUUUCCAGAGAUGGAUUGGUGCCUUCGGGAACUCUGACACAGGUGCUGCAUGGCUGUCGUCAGCUCGUGUCGUGAGAUGUUGGGUUAAGUCCCGCAACGAGCGCAACCCUUGCCUUUAGUUGCCAGCAGUUCGGCUGGGCACUCUAAAGGGACUGCCGGUGUUAAACCGGAGGAAGGUGGGGAUGACGUCAAGUCCUCAUGGCCUUUAUGACCAGGGCUACACACGUACUACAAUGGCCGAUACAAAGGGCAGCGACACUGCGAGGUGAAGCCAAUCCCGUAAAAUCGGUCUCAGUCCGGAUUGGAGUCUGCAACUCGACUCCAUGAAGUUGGAAUCGCUAGUAAUCGUGGAUCAGCAUGCCACGGUGAAUACGUUCCCGGGCCUU